RNAcentral lists this ribosomal RNA (254 nucleotides) under uncultured bacterium. RNAcentral describes it as "partial 16S ribosomal RNA". It matches the Rfam family "Bacterial small subunit ribosomal RNA", at positions 524 to 776 of the family's 1533-position model. The record is from RNAcentral.
UACGUAGGUGGCAAGCGUUGUCCGGAUUUAUUGGGUUUAAAGGGUGCGUAGGCGGCCUUGUAAGUCAGUGGUGAAAUACUCCAGCUUAACUGGAGGGGUGCCAAUGAUACUGCAGGGCUUGAGUACAGAUGAGGUAGGCGGAAUUGACGGUGUAGCGGUGAAAUGCAUAGAUAUCGUCAAGAACACCGAUAGCGAAGGCAGCUUACUGGGCUGUAAACUGACGCUGAGGCACGAAAGUGUGGGGAUCAAACAGG